Molecule: ribosomal RNA, 483 nt
Filed under: Pseudoalteromonas sp.
Lineage: Bacteria; Pseudomonadati; Pseudomonadota; Gammaproteobacteria; Alteromonadales; Pseudoalteromonadaceae
Description: bacterial SSU rRNA
Rfam family: Bacterial small subunit ribosomal RNA
Source: RNAcentral
AUUGAACGCUGGCGGCAGGCCUAACACAUGCAAGUCGAGCGGUAACAUUUCUAGCUUGCUAGAAGAUGACGAGCGGCGGACGGGUGAGUAAUGCUUGGGAACAUGCCUUGAGGUGGGGGACAACCAUUGGAAACGAUGGCUAAUACCGCAUAAUGUCUACGGACCAAAGGGGGCUUCGGCUCUCGCCUUUAGAUUGGCCCAAGUGGGAUUAGCUAGUUGGUGAGGUAACGGCUCACCAAGGCGACGAUCCCUAGCUGGUUUGAGAGGAUGAUCAGCCACACUGGAACUGAGACACGGUCCAGACUCCUACGGGAGGCAGCAGUGGGGAAUAUUGCACAAUGGGCGCAAGCCUGAUGCAGCCAUGCCGCGUGUGUGAAGAAGGCCUUCGGGUUGUAAAGCACUUUCAGUCAGGAGGAAAGGUUAGUAGUUAAUACCUGCUAGCUGUGACGUUACUGACAGAAGAAGCACCGGCUAACUCCGUGC